RNAcentral lists this ribosomal RNA (253 nucleotides) under uncultured bacterium. Its description in RNAcentral is "partial 16S ribosomal RNA". It matches the Rfam family "Bacterial small subunit ribosomal RNA", at positions 524 to 776 of the family's 1533-position model. The record is from RNAcentral.
UACGUAGGGUGCAAGCGUUGUCCGGAAUUAUUGGGCGUAAAGAGCUCGUAGGCGGUCUGUCGCGUCGGCUGUGAAAACCCGGGGCUCAACCCCGGGCCUGCAGUCGAUACGGGCAGACUAGAGUGUGGUAGGGGAGACUGGAAUUCCUGGUGUAGCGGUGAAAUGCGCAGAUAUCAGGAGGAACACCGGUGGCGAAGGCGGGUCUCUGGGCCAUAACUGACGCUGAGGAGCGAAAGCGUGGGGAGCGAACAGG